Molecule: long non-coding RNA, 967 nt
Filed under: Ananas comosus (pineapple)
Lineage: Eukaryota; Viridiplantae; Streptophyta; Magnoliopsida; Poales; Bromeliaceae
Description: long non-coding RNA (ACOM_LNC033690)
Source: RNAcentral
ACAGCUAUUAGAGAUAAUUGUUAGGAUUUUGUUAGAUUUAUAGAUUAAUUUUAGUUGAAUUAGGAUUUGUAUUUAAAUUUAUUGAAGAUAAAUUAAGAUUUAAAUAUAAAUUAAUGUAUGAAUUUAAUUAGAUUAGAAUAAAUAUUUAAAUAUAUUAAAGAUAAACGAAAUAUAGAUUUAAAUAUUUAUUAGAGUAGAAAUCCUAAAUAUACUAGAAUUUGGGUACGUUUUAUUGUAAACAUUAUAUAACCACCAUGUGGGGUGCUUUUGGAGAGAGAGUACGGCCCAAAAAGUUGAAACUCUUUGGUGGGUUGUACCACAGAGAGAGAGAGAGAGAGAGAGAGAGAGUUGGCUGGUUGCAUGCACCUAUUACACGGGUGCAUGUGAGAGAGGAAACGAGUUGUCUUUUAGAUUUAUAAAAGACGAGAGAAUGAUUCAGAAAGAGGGCUCGAAUUGUAGCUACUCUAUACAGAAGAGCAGUUAGGUGUAAUCUUCUCUUAUUUAGUGAAUCUUAUUUUACCCACAUAUUUUCUGUUUUGAUUUUUCUCUCUAUUAUGAUUAUAUUAGCUUUUGCUAAGGAGGCGGGUCUAUGGUAAAAACCCGAUUCGAUGCUUUUAUUACGGAAUCUCAACAAUCGGUACAGAAUCCACAGCAGUCGGUAUUGGAGCGGGUUGCGGAUUCACAAAAUCCGCAACCCGGGCAAGUACCGGAUUCCCAAUAAUUGGUAUCAAAGCUGAAGGUUACCGAUCUGCGGGAGAGAUCGACGAAGAUGGCCACAAAAUUCGAAAUCGAGAAGUUCGACGGCAAAAACAUUUUAGAUUAUGGCAGAUUAAAGUACGGGCGAUCCUCGUACAGCAAGAGUUGGAUGAGAAAUUGAACGGGAAGGAGGCGAAGCCGGUGGAGGUCACAGAUGCGGCAUGGACGAAGAUGGAGCGGAAGGAGCUGAGUACGCUUCAUCUAUUAUUAG